UGCUAAUGUUGGGCCAUGUAAUAUGUAAUACAUUAACGUUUUAAUGAAUAGUCUAACGAUUUAUAGUCAUGGUACUCUAUUGUUAUAAUAUGUCUUUUUGACUGAAUACAUGUUUGUUUUAUUUGUCUAUAUCUUAGAUUCGCAGCUGGACACAUCCUUCUACACUGUAUGCAAACAUGCAACAUCAUAACACACAGUACAAGGAGUCAGACUGGCAUAUGAGGAGCAAAGGAACCCAGACAGUAGCAUCGUUUCACAAUGUUUCCAUCACCAUCAUCAGUGGAUGCCUUUGCCGUCCGUAGCCUGAGAUUUCAGAUUUGCAGCAAAAAAAAUUUAUUUUCUCAUUUAUUGGAAUGCUAUGCAGGUUGUACCUUGCAGCCAUCCAUUACAAUGUCACCAAGCCGUAACAAAAGCAGGAGAGGGAAAGUACAAGGCUAUUUUCCCAAAACACACAAAUGACAUACCUUAUGUGGAUGAUGUGAUCAGGCUUGUGUUUGAUGAGGUAUUUGAAGAUAAGCUGAAGGAAACCCCCAUUCCAAUGGACCUGGCAUCACAGUUUGAAAGACCUUCAAAGGAGGACGUGAUUGCAUGCCAUCUUCAGUGCAGGGGUCGUCGAAAGCCAAAAUUGUGACCGAUCUGAUCAGGAAGCUCCAAGCAUAUCUGGAGAAAAACACACGA
Molecule: long non-coding RNA, 678 nt
Organism: Paramisgurnus dabryanus
Lineage: Eukaryota; Metazoa; Chordata; Actinopteri; Cypriniformes; Cobitidae
Source: RefSeq, a predicted model, not a curated record